Molecule: long non-coding RNA, 23978 nt
Filed under: Nicotiana benthamiana
Lineage: Eukaryota; Viridiplantae; Streptophyta; Magnoliopsida; Solanales; Solanaceae
Description: long non-coding RNA (NBEN_LNC005152)
Source: RNAcentral
AAACCUCCUCGAAUUUUCCAAAGCCAUUCUUGCCUAAAAGACAUCGAACCCCUAGUUCUCUAUUCCUAAAAGUACUGUCCAAAAGAUUCGGAGAACUAGUCCCAAUAGCUCCAACGAUGGCGACAUCUCCUGCAAGGGCGCAAGGCCACAUCUCUGGCAAAGCUUCCUUUCGUUGAUGUUGGCCACAAACCCUAACCGAAGUCACUGAAUCCGGCAAAUAGAGAAGAUGCUGAGUCAAAAAAACACCCUUGCCACUUCUCUAAAACUUCCUCCUCACGCAUAGCAAUGGGAUCUGGUUAGAGCCGGACGAAUGGAGAAAAUUCAGUAGGAAUUGCUUCUUAGAUUGUCUAUGAACCUCGUCGCUUGGACUUAGGGUACCAAGGUAUUUUCUCUAUUGUUCAUUGUUAUUUUCUCUACGUCAUUUUUGACUUUGUAGAUCUUUGUAUCUUGUGCUUGGUGUUUAGAUUUUCCAUUGUCUAAGGUAUUUUGUGUUUCUUCGAUUAUUGAUAACCUUUGUUGGAAACUUUUUUUAAGUGAAAUCUUCAAUUUAUGAUAUAUAUAUGUGCUUUAUGAUUUGUUUGUUUUAUUCUUUUUGGUUGGAGGGCAGAGAUAUUGCGGAAUUAAAUGCUUAUGUUUCAUAUCUCGUACCAUUUUAUUCGAACAAUAUUUUUGAGUCUAAUGACAGAAUAUUGGGCAAGGACCUCAAUAGCAUAGCAUCAAGAACAAAUAUCAAAUUCAGUAAAUUAUUUUUUCUAAAGAGAACUAAUUGAAUAUAUGUCCUGUUUGUUUUUAUUUUUGCUAAAGAUUUACUUUUUAUCUUCAUUUCUCAUUCUUGUUGUUUCAGAUUCCCUUUAGUAGAAGAGGCACCUCAAGUAAUUUAUGGUACAAAAACACGAGAUGAUAUAGGAAUUGAUUUAAGUCAAGUAGACAAAAGACCCCUUAAAUAUCUCAAACUCUCAAACUUCUAAGCGUAAAGUAUCUGUUUACAUGCACAAGCAACUUUAUUGUUUAUUUAACUUUGUGUCGCAGUUAAGAUUGAAUUGUCAGUCAUACAUAUUUUGUAUAGGAAAAAGAUAAUAAGACUUCUAGAUUUCUAAUGGUAAAAUUGUCACUACCCGAAUUUUUCAUCAUCGGGAGUCGUGAUGGCGCCUAUUAAUAUGAGCUAGGCAAUCCAAUUAAUUGCACAAUUUACCUUUUUACCCAUUUUAUAUUCACUAACAAUUGUGAAGUAAUAAUAUUUAAACAGUGAAAUUUAACAUAAGCGGAAGAAAAAUAAUAAGCUAUCUGAAUAUGAACAUCUAAUACAACUGUUUCAGUCUCGAUUACCAACAACUGGUGUCACAGUUUCACAGACGGUCUAAGAACACUACAAAUAAAGGUCUAAAGAAAUAAAUACAACAGUGCCUCUGGAAAUUCAUGAAAGAAGCAGGAAUAGUAGACAGAAGGAGACGCUACGGCAUGCGGACGCCUGCAGGACUACCUCAGGUUGCCUGAUGAAGGUGGAUCAGCAAUUCCACCGUGGUUCGAAGCCUACAACACCGUGGUCUGCACAAAAGGAACACCGUGGUCUGCACAAAAGAGUGUAGAGUGUAGUAUCAGCACAAUCAAUCCCAUGUGCUGGUAAGUGCCUAGCCUAACCUCGGCGAAGUAGUGACGAGGUUAGGACCAGACUACCAUAUAAACUUGUGCAGUUAUAAAAUAUAUAACAAAAACAACAACAACAACAACAACAACAACAACAACAACAACAAUCCAGCAUAAUCCCACUUAGUGGGGUCUGGGGAGGGUAGUAUGUACGCAGACUUUACGCCUACCUUUGGGUAGAGAAGCUGCUUCCAAAUAGACCCCCGGCAUCCUUCCCUCCAAGAACUUCUCACCUUGCUCUUGAGGAGACUCGAACUCACAACGUCUCGGUUGGAAGUGGGGUUGCUUAAUUUGGUGGAGACAAAGUUCCCCAUUUACGAACUACUCAACUUUCCUAAAGCUAUGUUGUUUUCAACUUAGCACCAAUUAUGCUCAUUAUUAAAUUCUCUUUUGUAAAUGUUGUCCCUUAUCUUAAAAAAAAAUUGAGACGAUAUAAAGAAGAUUAGUACAGUUCUUGCGUAAGCACCAAAUCAAGAAGUGGUCCAAAUUGCAGACCUUACCUCUAUCCUAGGGUAGAGAGGUUGUUUCCAAAUAGACCCCCGGCAUGCUUCCCUCCAAGAACUUUCCACCUUGCUCUUGGGGAGACUCGAACUCACAACAUCUCGGUUGGAAGUGGGGGUUGCUUAUCAUCAGAGCAUCCAGAGAAUUAUCGGGAACCAAAUUUCAACUACUAACAAGGGUAAGUAAAACAAAGUUAGAUUUUAAUUUCAGUUCACACCUUGUUGCAGGCGUGCAACUCGACGCCAUUUCUCAUAUCUUGUGGCAGGCGUGCUACCUGCUCCCAAUUCAUUUAUCCCGUGGCAAGUGUGCCACCUGCUCAUGUAUGUCAUGGUAGGUAUACCACCCGCUCCCAUUUCAUGUAUCUUGUGGUAGGCGUACCACUCCCUCCUAUUUCAUUAAAUCUUGUGGUAGACGUACCACAUGCUCCCAUUUUAUUAAAUCUCAUGGUAGGUGUACCACCUGCUUCCAUUUUAUUAAAUCUUGUGGUAGGCGUAUCACCCGCUCCCAUUUCAUGAAAUCUUGUGGUAGGCGUACCACCCGCUCCCAUUUCAUUAAACAUUAUGGCAGGCGUACCACCCGCUCCCAUUUACAAGCCGACAAUAAACACAAAUAUUCCGGCAAGGGAACAAAAGCAACAUAAUAAUCUUCCCGAUAAGGGAACAAUGAUAUUUCUAUAAUAUUCCGGCAAGGGAACUGUUAGAAUAUGUAAUAGUAGAACCCUAAUCCAAUGUGUAUUAGGAGUAGCCUAAUCCNNNNNNNNNNNNNNNNNNNNNNNNNNNNNNNNNNNNNNNNNNNNNNNNNNNNNNNNNNNNNNNNNNNNNNNNNNNNNNNNNNNNNNNNNNNNNNNNNNNNNNNNNNNNNNNNNNNNNNNNNNNNNNNNNNNNNNNNNNNNNNNNNNNNNNNNNNNNNNNNNNNNNNNNNNNNNNNNNNNNNNNNNNNNNNNNNNNNNNNNNNNNNNNNNNNNNNNNNNNNNNNNNNNNNNNNNNNNNNNNNNNNNNNNNNNNNNNNNNNNNNNNNNNNNNNNNNNNNNNNNNNNNNNNNNNNNNNNNNNNNNNNNNNNNNNNNNNNNNNNNNNNNNNNNNNNNNNNNNNNNNNNNNNNNNNNNNNNNNNNNNNNNNNNNNNNNNNNNNNNNNNNNNNNNNNNNNNNNNNNNNNNNNNNNNNNNNNNNNNNNNNNNNNNNNNNNNNNNNNNNNNNNNNNNNNNNGCAAAAACCAACACCACCACAAGGUUCCCAAGAGAGAUCCGACCAAACCCCAGCAAACUCCGCUGGAAAACUGCCCUUCACGCGCCAGAUUUAUCAAGGUAGAUCCGACUUACGCGCCCCACGCGCCGGCGCGUGAGCACUGUUCCGGUGAGAUUUUGAAGAAGGUCCUUCAGGGCAGUUAGAUCGCCCUCAAAUCCGAGCCUACCCAUAUUUUUACUUUUCAAUUCCGACCACUUUGAAGUUUUUCCUGCAUCUACAGUGAUUUUUUCCGGCAUCUAUAGUAAUUUUCCAGCAAAAACAGUAUUUCCUUCAUCUGUUUCAGCAAGCUUUCAACUAUGUCUUUGGGACUCGAUGCUUUCGGGUCUAGAAACCCGGGUUCGAUGUUAACUACACCAAGUCUAUUGACUUAAGUGGAGAAGGGUAGAGGGGUAGGCCCAUUAUCCCUGAGUUUCAAAGUUGAAACAGCUGAUUUCUUGGUAAUUCGAAAAAGAAAGAAAUUAAAGUCGUGCUAUUUGUUAGAAUAUGUAAUAGUAGAACCCUAAUCCAAUGUGUAUUAGGAGUAGCCUAAUCCAAUGUUUAUUAGGAGUAGGAUAGAUUAUGUGUGUAUAUAUAGGUCUCAUUGUAUCAUGUUUAAUCUCAGUUAUAUUUUUCUCCCGUGUUUUCUCACAGGAACAAUACUAUCAAACAAACAUCCCGGUAUGGGAACAAUGAUGAUAAUAGCAUAUGAGGUGCAAUAAACCAUAACAAAGUCAUAGCAAUUACAAAAGAAGACUCGCGGACAUACUUGACACCGAUGUAUAGAUACUCAUCACCAUACCUAUACGCCGUACUCCACAAUUUGCACGUAGCAAAUAGACAUGACUCCUAGUCCCUCAAGCUAAGGUUAGACCAAACACAAGCCUCGAACUUUCAUGGCCAACUCAAUCCUCAAAUAGCUCCAAAUCAAUUGUAUAUAUAAAUAAUCAGCUUAAUAACAUCAAUAAAUGCUAAACAACCCAAUUCCAAUGCUUAAUUAUAGCUUUCUAAUCAUUCUUCCCAAAAAAGUCAAAAAUUAACCCCGGACUCGCUUUGUUGAAACACGAGGGUCGGACCAAAACCUGAUCACCCAUUCACCCACGAGCCCGAAUAUAUAAUUUAUUUUUAAAUCCAACCCCGAAACGAGGUCAAAAUCCCAAAUAAUCAAAAAGCCCUAACUUUACUCAAGUCCCUAAUUUUCUAUCCUUAGUUUCAUAUUUUAGGCCUAGAAAUCUAGUGGAUGUUGAUAAAAAUAGAAGAAAAUAAGUAAAAAAUUAUGUACCCAAGAGGUUAUGGUGAAGGAGUUCUUUAAAAAUUGUCCAAGAGGUGUGGAGAAGAUGAAGGUUGUGAAAAAUAAUGAAAAUUCCGUAAUGUGUUUUGUUUUUGAAACUUAAAAUAACUGGACAAAAUUGGUCUUCGUGUUUGCGACAGGCCCAUCGCGUUAGCAAUGAGUCGGGCCUGGGAGACCUUCACGUUCACGUAAGUGGGCUCACUUUCGUGGAGCACAAACUCCUUGAGCCAUCGUGUUCGCGUCCAGGUGGUCGCGUUCGCGUAGGCAUAAUAUCCCCCCCCCCCCCNNNNNNNNNNNNNNNNNNNNNNNNNNNNNNNNNNNNNNNNNNNNNNNNNNNNNNNNNNNNNNNNNNNNNNNNNNNNNNNNNNNNNNNNNNNNNNNNNNNNNNNNNNNNNNNNNNNNNNNNNNNNNNNNNNNNNNNNNNNNNNNNNNNNNNNNNNNNNNNNNNNNNNNNNNNNNNNNNNNNNNNNNNNNNNNNNNNNNNNNNNNNNNNNNNNNNNNNNNNNNNNNNNNNNNNNNNNNNNNNNNNNNNNNNNNNNNNNNNNNNNNNNNNNNNNNNNNNNNNNNNNNUAACCAGGCCACAAGCCUUCGCGUUCGCAUUACCAGGACCGCGUUCGCAAAGGAUAGACCCCCCAAAGCUUCGCGUUAGUGACCUGGUCUUGUGUUCGCGUAGAAGGAAUUUUCGUUCAGCACAAUUAACUCUUCGCGUUCGCGAGGGUCCUCCCGCAAACGCGGCGAAAAAAAAAACUACAAUACCAACAAUUGAAGACCUGCAACUUUUUAAGAGUUUAAAACCUUCUGAAACUUACUUGAGUCCUCGUGGCUCCAAACCAAACAUACGUACUAACUCAAAAAUACCAUAUGAACUUAUCUGUGCGAUCAAAUCGCCAAAUUAAUAUCACUAACGUCGAAUUAAACCUCAAAAUCAAUGAAUUGUUUCAAACUUCUUAAAACAUCAAAUUUUGCAAUGAAGGCUCGAAUCACGUCAAACGGAUUUCGUUUUUUACCAAACUUCAGAGAAUUAUUUUAAGCCACAUAUAAGACCUAUACUGGAUUCCGAAACCAAAAUACGGGCCUGAUAUCAGCAUGUUCUAAUCAAAAUUCAUUUCCAAAUCCUUUAAACAAAUUCAGAAAAUAUUUUUCUUUAAAAAUUAAUUUCUCGGGCUUGGGACCUCGAAAUUCGAUUCCGAGCAUACACCCGAGUCCUAUAUUUUUCUACGGAUCCUCCGAGAUCGUCACAUCACGGGUCUGGGUUGCUUAUCCAAAAUAUUGACCGAAGACAAAUUAAUUCAUUUUUAUAGUCAAAAUUUAUCAUUUUUUACGGAUUUUCUCAUUUUAGUUUUUCGGCUACACGCUCAAACUGCCUUCGCAAAUUAAUAUGAUGCUAAAAGAGAUUUUUAUGACCUCCGAAUAUAAAAUUUAAUUUAAAAGCAAGUGAUGACCCAAAGGUCAUCACAAAAAUAGCCAAUUUCUUUCGGUUAUUUUAAUUCAUGUCAACUUCUCCUAUAUAAUUCAUGCAUCAUUUGCUAUGUUUAGAAAAAAUAAGAAUCGGAUGCUAACAGAAAACUAGAAAUAUGGAACCAAUACACCUCUUUUGCAAGCUCAUAUUCCACUAUUGUUAAUUCUAGCACUAGUAUUGAACUGUGAAGUAGGUGAAAGAGUGAUUUAUUAUGGACAAAAUAGUCAUGAAGGGACAUAUGCUUGCUCUAUCGUAUUUUAUUUGUUGCUCUACGAUUAUAUGGCAAUUCAUAAAAUGCUUCUCAGUUGUUUUCAAACUUUUUGAGCUGAAUGUUACUUUUUGCUUUUGCUUUAACAUAGGUUUGAUAUCUGAUUUGUUGAAAUUAAUAUGGGACCAGGCCAAGCAGUUGCAUAUCAAGAGUACUAGAAAAUUAUUAGUUAAAAAGACAGCCAUCCUGGAGCAAGGGAUCUCUAACUCUGGAAUUUCUUUGCUCAUUUUAAAUAGUGAACCUCAAAUUAUAUAAUUAAUAUAGUAUAUGUUCUACAUUUUCUAAAACAGUAGCUCUUCUUGACUCAAAAUCAUUUUAUAUAUUCUCUCUUUUUGUUGAUCAAGAAGUAUUUAAAUGUUAUUGCUAAUAAGAAAGAGUCUUCUAUGAUCAGUUUAAGCAACUACUUAAUGCUGAACUCAAGAAAAUUAUCAGCAACUACGUACUCUUCAGGAAAGAACAAAUAUCUCUUUCAAGUGCUCUGAUGGUGAACUUUCAAAUAACUCUUUCUAUUGAGUGUGUUCGAAGUGGAAUAAAAUACAUAUGCUAGACUAUCCAAAACUUUUGUUUUUCAAUUUAGUUAGCGACACCUAAUUUUAUUAUUUAGUGUCGGACAUCAUCUAAAUAAUUAAUAAAUAUCCCUAAUUUUGUUCUUGGUCAUAAUUGAAUCGUUCACGCUUUGCAGUAUAUACGUGUGAUUCUGUGAGGGAUAGAAUUGACAGAUACUAGAUGGACUCUAUAGUUUUGCAGUAGGUAUUGGAUGUCAUCUCAUUAACGCAUUACUAUUUCUUGCUUGACAGAUUAGCUUUGGUAAUAUUAUCAAUAAAGCAGCUCCCUCGGCUAUCCAUCCAUGAAAAUAUGUCCUUUGAGGCACAAGACUUGAUUGACAGGUUAGUUAAUACCAUUUUAAAUACUAUAUAUAUGAUCCAUCCUCUUAGAAUAAAUUCCACUAGUAAUUUUGCGUUUUAUAAAAGGAUUAUAAAAUAAUCAUGUCCAAAUUACUUUGUAAGAUUUUUUCCUAGACAAGUUUCGUGGUAGUAAUCAUUUGGAGUAUGUUUGGUGUGGAUCCAUACCGUCAUAAUAUAAUUUGAGGGACUACUCUCUUUUCUCUGGGCUUAAUUUAGUAGUAUGUUAAAGUUCAUUGAUAUUCAAAUAUAAUGGUUGUGUUUACUACACAUAUUCAUAUGGUUGUGUUUGCAAACAUAUGUAUAUUAACUCUUGAAUUUAUCAAAUAAUAUUCUCUUUUUUGCUUUAUACUCUAUGAAUAGUACUAUUUGGAUAAUUUGAUUUGUGACUUUGUUAUUUAAUAGUUUCUUCAGUGAUUUGUAUCAAAAUCAGUGUAAUACUUUAUUAUACAUGUAAUAACAGACCGCUAGACUGUUGCAAUAGCUAAAACAUCCGUUGCAAUAGCUAAAACAUCCGUUGCAAUAGCUACUAAUAAUUAUUGUGAUACAAUAAAAAGCGUUACAAUCUCCUCAAUAGCGGUUGCAAUAAUGAUAUUUGCAACGGUUUUGGACCGUUCCAUUUGCUAAGAUAAGCAUUGCAAUAAAUAGGUUUAUGGCAACGGUUCCAAACAGUGGGCUAUACAUACACCAAUUGCGACGUCAUUUCAAAUGUUGAAAGAAACCAUUGACGUAGACUAUUGGCCGCGACCUAAUGUAACAAGCACUUAACCGUUAUAGUAGAGCUAUUGCAACGGUUUUGAUACGUAUUGCAACGUAAUUCGAACCGUUGCAAUAGAACUAUUCUCUAGUAGUGACAUCUACCCACCCCAUUACUAAAGAUCCCGAAGUGUCUAUUUAUAAAUUAUUAUAAGCUAACAAAUGAAUUACGUAAAUGAAAUAGAAAAUCAAGAAACUAUUCUAUAGGGAGCCUAUAAUUAGGCCCAAGUUUUCCAAAGCCUCCAAUGGUCUCAUAAGCCUCAAUUCCAUAGAAAAAUCAGAGUCUAGGUGCAUCAAAGUUCUAUAAGGGCCUCAAGAAUCUCGGAAAAUGCUUACACCAAGACUUAGCAACCAAGGAUUGAACCAGUAGAGUGUGGCAAGGCCAGCCUCAGUGUGCUAGAGUUCAGAGGGCUCUCAAGAGUAUCCCAAGGCAGUACACAUAUUAGAGGGGGCAUGACUUAUUGACAAAGAGUAAAGUGAAAAUGCAUGACACAAGUUAAAAAAGGGUUAUUAAAGACUAUAUUGAAAAGUCUAUUUUGAAAGCAAUUUGUAAAGCAACAAAGAUUGUUUGAAAAGAGGUUGGAGUAGUAAACAAGCUUAGACACCUUAAGAAAAGAUCACAUACAGAUACUUUACAGAAUUCAGUAGUCAUAGAGGGGUCAAGGGAUUGGGUAUAUAUAGACAUUUUGGCUGCACAACCCAGCAAAGAUCUUAAGACUGGUUUGGACAUGCUGAGAGAUAGUUGACUCUGGAUAAUCACACAACACUAAGGAGAAAUACAAGCGCGUAGAAGGGUGAUAAGGAUUUAGGGAUUCAUGGGAUGGUAAGAACACAAGAAAUAAAAGGCAAUUGACAAAGCAUGAUUUGAAACACACAUAAGGGGAUACAUUAAUCUAAAGGGAAAUGGAGACAUAAUAACAUGCUGAUAAGGCAACUUAACUACAAGUUCAACAAUAGAACCAUAAGUAGAAGCAAACUAGGAAGAAAAGAAACUGAAACUAUAAGAGAAACAUAUUAUUGUUGGAGCUUUAAAUACAAACUAGGACAUACUAGUGAAGGUAGAAGUAAGUAGAAUAAAAGAACCAAAGAGCAUAGAUGAUUAGUCUUGGCUUCCAGCCGGCUAACAGUAGCAAGUAACACACGAUAGAAUGAGAGCAGAGGUUUUUUGUAAGAGAGGUAGUUUUAAGGACUAGUUUACGUGUUAAUGAAAGACUUACAGUAUUUACAGUUGGAAGUAGGUAGUGAAAUAAGGUAAAAAUCUUAGUAGUAUACUCAUUUAAGAACUCAGGAUCAACCAAUUAGAGUAUCAAGAAAGUACUCCCUUAAGUUAAGGGAAUCAAAUCAAACGGGGAGAUUCAAUAUCAUAUAAUGUAAGAAAAUAAUCAGUGCAUGACUAAAUAAGGAAGGAUUCAAAGUUCAAUAUGUAUAUAGUAUUUGAUCAGGACUAAAUUAAUAAAGCCUUAAUUAAGGACACAACCCAGUAGAAAUAAGUAUCAUAGCAAAUAUGGAAAGGAAAUCAGUCAGCUUAAACAGACGAGGUAAAGCUUGUAAGGCUUUAAAAGAAAAUAUUUCGAUCACCAUCAAUUAAGAAAAUAAGAAUCAAUCAAGUGGGAGUCAUGAUUCUGUAUGUUCAAAAUAUAAAUAGAGCAGCUCAAAAGACAUAGCAAAGAUCAAGGCUAGCCAUAUUGACAACAAGAAGCAAAAGAUAAACAAACAAAGUGGGCAUAGUCACACAGAAGUGACAUAAGUAGGCUAGGAAUUUAGUAAACAUAUUCGAAGCCUGAUUACCACGAGUGAUCAACAAGAAUCAAAUAAACAGGCUAACUUACUGAACCAAGGCAAAGAGAAUCAUGCUGACACACAAAGCAAAGAAAACCAUGCUAACUCAAAGAAUCAAAGCAAGGUAAAUCAUGCUAAGUCACAGAACCAUGGCAAAGAAAAUUAUGCUAACACAUAGAACCAAAGAAAAGAAGUUUUAAAAAUUAGGGGUUUAACAGAGUCGAGUCAAAACAUAGUAAGAGCAUAAAAUUGGUCAAAACUAAACAAGGAAAAAGGUUUAAUCCUAAGGAAAUCGAUUAAAACAAGCGUAGAAGAAUCUCCGAAACCCUAGUUUUUCAAGAAAGUAAAGACGGUUUAAAGUGGAGGAUCUUUUAGAAGAAGCUCAAGAAUAAGCAAAUCAUAGAAGGAAACAGGCUUAAAGUGUAAAAAAUAACACAGAUCUGAGAGAUUCAAAAAAGAGUUAGGACUUCAAAGGGAAUCCCAAAUAGAAAUUGAAAGAACAUGUUGUAGACUUCUUUGAUCGUAACAUAUAAAGUGUGAUUUUGCCCAAAAUUACACUGGAGAAGCCACAAAUAAUAGAAACAGAAAUCCUAGCUUCAAAUCGGCAUGGCCCAGGAUCCUUGAAGAACUUAGAGAUGAUGAACAAGGCGAUGAGAGACUCAUUGGAGGCUUGGGUUGAAAGGAUGGUCACCGGAGAUGACUGUAGAAGGAGGGGUUUGACGGAGUCUAGGGUUAGGUUUGGAAGAAAAGAGAAGAUGAGAGCAUCUACGGGCAUGGGAUUUGGAAAGUGAGUGGGGUUAGGGGUCGUUUGGAAAUUAAAAAGGAAAGGAGAAAUGAGGGUCGUUGAUCUAAAAGAUCAACGGCCAGGAUUUAAAAUAGCUUGGGUCGGGUUGUGGAUAAUUGGAUCUGGGUCGGGGUAUGAAGUAUAAAAUUGGGCUGGGAUUGAGGUUCGAUUUGGCUGUAAUUUAAAGCCAAAUUUGGUUGUUAUUUAAAUAGCCAGCUUUUCCCUAUUUUAAUUUUAAUAAAUAAUAAGUAAUUUCUGGAAAAUAAUUCAAGGUGCCAAAAUGAUUUAAAAUAUAUAAUUAACAUUUUAAAAAUACAGGGGUCAAUUGUACACAUAUAAAAUAUAAUUAUAUCUUAAAAGGGGCUAAUAACGUAAUUACAUGCAAUUUAGCUAAAAAUACUAAAUGUAAUGGUAAGAAUACAUAAAAAUCACAUUAGACAUAUUUUGUCAUAAGUAUACAAAUUAAAUAAAUAAAUUAUCAAAACAAUAAUUUUGGAAAUAGUUAUUGGGAAUUUUACGGGUAAAAAGGGAGAAAAUAAGUCAACUUAAACCCUUAAAAUUAUUGGGGCGAAAAUAACAAAAGUCUUGUGUAUGCUUGUAUAUGCAUACAUAUGCUAUUUUGAAGGUAUUUAUGCAUAUUUAAAAUAUAUAGGAAAAUAUUGGUUAUCAACAGUUGCCCGUCUUUACCCGGAAAGGAUGAAAGAGAUUUCUGGUAAAGAAAUAAUGGUCCAUUUUGACCGAAUGCGAUGCUUCAGAAGACGGAGGCCGAACUUCGGUUUUUGAGUUGCCUAUAUAUCUAUGAUUUUUCAGGAAUCAGUCCAUGUGUAGUUCUGGACUCAGCUACAGAUUAUGCCAAUAAAAUUAUUGUGAGGAUGGACGCGAGAUGCAGAAGUGGUUACGGUGAACAAUUAAGGUUCGGGAAGGUUGAAGGGCACUGGAGCGAGACUGCUCCUGCUAGGAUAGUAGUUGUCUGCUAAUUACCUGCAAAUAAAAGAUGCUACAAUGUAUUUGUUAAAAUUUAAACAUGAUGCAGAUUCCAUUUGGACCAUGAAGGUUGUCUUCGAACGGUUAAAGAUGACAUCCAGAGCUAUGAAUUGUUUAAUAAGGGAUGUGUACUCCAUGAAAUGGUGUUUUAAGGGCCAUGAAAAUGGUGCCUCCGAACCAUGACUCAUUUGAAUAAUGAUGUGCAAACUCAAGAGAUCCUUAGGACAUGGCAUGGUGCCUUUCGACUAUGAGGAUGGUGCCUUUAGACUGACGCUUUUGGAACGAUUGGCGAUAUUUCAACCCAUGAGAUACAACAAUAUGAUGUAACUAAACAAGGCUUAGUGUUGUGAAAUGAAGGGCAAAGCUUAGCCCGAUCGAGAAGCAAGUAGAUGGCAGUAAAAAAUAGAGCAGCAUUGGUGUAAAGAGGGACAAUGUUUAGUCACGUGCAAGUGGGGAGGCGAGGAUUAUCAUGAUACAAAUGUGGAGGCAAUGAUUAGCCUCAUGCACAUAUGGAGUCAGGGCUUAGAAUCAUGCGAAUAGAAGGCAAAUAUGGAGGUAGAGCUUAACCUCAUGCAAGAUGCAGGACAGGGCUUAAUCCCAUGCAAAUAUGGAGUCAAGGCUUAGACUCAUGCAAAUGCAGAGUCAAGGCUUAGACUCAUAAAAGUAUGGAGACAGAGCUUAGUCUUAUGAAAAUAUGGAGACAAAGCUUAGUCUUAUGCAAAUAUUGAGACAAUGCUUAGUCUCAUGCAAAUAUGGAGUCAAGGACUAGACUUAUGCAAAUAUUGAGUCAAGGAUUAGACUUAUGCAAAUAUGGAGUCAAGGAUUAAACUCAUGCAAGUAUGGUGACAGAGCUCAGUAUCAUUUAAAUAAGGAGUCAAGGUUUAGACUCAUACAAAUGUGGAGUCAAGGAUUAGACUCAUGCAAAGAGAAAAUAACAAAUAAGGAUGGAGUAUGUAUCUUAGCUAGGACAUUUUUGUGUCUAAUGGCCGGAUGGAUGGUCAAUUUGCUUUGUGUACGAAUACUAUCAUCAAAUGUGCUUGCGUUCAAAGAAAAAUCAUAAUUUUCAUGGGGGAGGUUGGUUCCUGCUUCGCCUGACAGCCUUGCUUUGCUCCGUUCUGGAAGCCCCCUUCAAAUUCCCCUAGGUAGCACCUGGCUGUUAUAAAAAUAUAAUUUUUGAAUGAGAUGCAUUCAUUGAUAAAAAUAGAAUUGUUUUGGAAGUGUAUUGAUAUAUAAAGUAACUUUGAUGAACUAGCGACUGUGACACAUUUCAAAGGCAUUGUAGAUCUCUUAUGUUGGAAUUUUGAGGGUCCUCCUCAAUAUUCUACCCCAGUUUGGUAGAUGGUCUCUAACCGUUUGCGGAUGGUGGACCUUGCUCAAUCUUCCUCGGAAUUUCGAGAAUCUUUCUCAAAAUUCUGCCCUAGUUCUUGACUAAUGACUGACUUCCUGUGAUGUGAUAGUGUUGGCUGGACUUGUCCCGGAAUUUUGAGGACCUUCCUCAAAAUUCUGUCCCAGUUUUCGAUUUUGGGGGGGAAAUGAAAAAUUUUAUUAUGAUAUGACCGAACCCAUAAGGCUGCCUUCGUAUCCCCUCUUAAACAAAAAUUAGGUCAAGCGUAGUUCAAUUACAUCAGAAAAGAAAUGGGAAAUAAUCUAGGAAUAGUAUCUCUUGACUGCAUUUGAAUUGAUUGGUUUUGGCCAGAUUUCUCCAUCCAUUUCUGCAAGUAUGAGUGCUCCUUCUAUUAGGAUCCUGUGAAACAUGUAUGGACCUUGCCAGUUAGGAGAGAAUUUCCCUUUCCCUUCAUCUUGGUGCGGGAAGAUUUUCUUUAAUACCAACUGCCCUAGUGCGAACUGCCUUUGUUUGACCCUUUUGUUGAAAGCUUUGGACAUUCUGUGUUGAUAGAGUUGGAUGUGGCAUACUGUGUUCAUUCUCUUUUCAUCGAUAAGGGAUAAUUGCUCAUAGCGGUUCCUUAUCCAUCUGCAUCGCUGAGUUCAGCUUCCUGUGUGACUCUUAAGGAAGGAAUCUCUACCUCGGUUGGGAUGACUACCUCGGUACUAUAAACCACCAUGUAGGGAGUUGCCCUGACGUGCAAACUGUGGUGCGUUACCCUAACAGAGAAAAGGGUAACUUCUCAUGCCACUGCUUGUGAUUCUAUACCAUUUUCCAUAUAUUUUCUUAAUGUUUUUGUUUGGCGGCUUCUACAGCUCCAUUCAUCUAAGGUCUAUAGACGGUGGAAUUCUUGUGCUUGAUUUUGAAUGUUUCACAUAUAGCUUUCAUCAGGUCACUGUUGAGGUUGGCGGAAUUGUCAGUAAUAAUGGACUCCGGAACACUGAAUCGGCAGACAAUGCGAUCCUCGACAUAAUCUAUGACGACUUUCUUGGUUACAGCUUAGUAAUAUGCAUCUUCUACCCAUUUUGUAAAGUAAUCAAUGGCGACCAGAAUAAACCUCUGUCCAUUCUAAGAAGUUGCUCAAUUGGACCAAUAACAUCAAUUCCCCAAGUGGUGAAUGAUUAAGGUGAACUUACUGUAUUGAGCUUGUUUGGCAGCAUCUUUAUCAUGUUGGCAUGCACUUGACAUUGAAAUCAUUUGCGGACAUACUAAAUACAAAUGUUUACAUGGUCAUCCAAAAGUAACCUUCCAUGCGUAUCUUCUUGGCCAGAACAAAAUCAUUCAUCUGCGACCACAUAUCCUAGCAUCAACAUUCUCAAGUGGCUUAGAAGCUUCCUUUACGUCGACACACCUUAGCAAACCUAAAUAUGGAGUUCUUCUGUACAAGUUCCCUCGUCGUGGAAGAAGUGAUUUGACAAUCUCCAGAGCGUGCGUUUCUGAAUGUGAUUUGCGUGCUCUGGGUAUUCUCCAUCUGAUAAGUUCUCCUUGGUGUCAUGGAACUAAGGUUUUCCAUCUGCUUCUUCAUCGACAUGAGCACAAUAUAAUGGCUGAUAAUGGAUCCUCAUCGGAGUGGGAUCAAUACAUUUCUUAUCUAGGUGUUGUACCAUUGAUGACAAAGUGGCUAAUGCGUCGUCAAACUCAUUCUGAAUUAUGGGCACAUGUCGAAAUUCUAUCUUCAUGAACCUCCUUUUCGAUUCCUGCACAUGGUGCAGAUAUGUCAAUAUCUUGAAAUUUUUGGUAGCCCAUUCUCCUUGUACCUGGUUCACAAGCAAAUCUGAAUCACCGAUCACCAACAACUCCUGAAUGUUCAUGUCGACUGCCAUGUUGAGCCCUAGUAUGCAAGAUUCAUAUUCUGCUAUGUUGUUUGUCAAGGGAAAUCUGAGUUUAGAAGAUAUGGGAUAAUGUUGACCUAUUUCUAAUACAAAAAGUGCUACAAUGCCUACUCCUUUGAAAUUCGUGGCUCCGUCAAAGAACAUCCUCCAACCGUCAUAGGCUUCAGUAAUAUCUUCUCCUAUGAAUGAUACUUUUUCAUCAGGAAAAUACAUUUUCAAAGGUUCGUAUUCUCCUUCCACUAGAUUUUCAGCAAGGUGAUCUGCCAAUGCCUAUCCCUUUACUGCCUUAAGAGAUACAUAGACGAUGUCGAACUCACUCAGUAGUAUUUUCCAUUUAGCCAACUUCCCCUUAGGCAUGGACUUUGAAAUUUAUACUUCAGAGGAUCCAUCCUAGAUAUGAGGUACGUAGUGUUGGCACAGAAAUAAUGCAUGAACUUCUGGGUUGUCCAGGUUAAAGCAAAACUGGUUCAUUCAAGAAGAGAAUACCGUGCUUUAUAAGGUGUGAAUUUCUUACUUGAAUAAAAUAUGGCUUUCUCCUUCCUUCCUAUCUCGUCAUGUUGUCCUAAAACACAUCCGAAGGCUCCAUCUAAUACAUAUUGGUAGAGUAUCAAAGGUUGCCCCGAUUCUGGCAGGACCAACACUAAAGGUGUGGAUAGGUAUUCCUUAAUUUUGUCAAAAACUUUCUAACAAUCCUCGGUCCAACUCGUCUCAGCAUCCUUCCUCAGCAUCUUGAAGAUGGGUUCACAUAUUAUGGUGGAUUGUGCUAUGAAUUGAUUGAUGUACUUGAGUCGUCCCAAGAAGCUCAUUACGUCCUUUUUUCUUUUGGCCGAUGGUAACUCCUAAAUAGCUUUGACUUUAGUCGGAUCUAGCUCGAUCCCUCGGCGACUGACAAUGAAUCCCAGUAAAUUUCCUGCAGGAACCUCGAAUGCACAAUUUGCGAGGUUCAACUUCAAAUUGUACCUCUCUAAGCCUAUCGAAGAAUUCCCUCCUUGAUCUUUAAUCUUCUUGGUAACUUCCUCCUUGAUCUUUAGACUCAUGCCUGGUUUGAAUUUUUUGAGUUUCUGCUUGACUGGUGGGCACAUAGGAUUGGUAGACAACCUGUGAGCUACUAUAGAUGUGCUCAAACUGGUCAUAUCCACAUAUGACAAUGCAAAAAUAUCCUCAUAUUCCAUUAGAAAAUGGGUUUAUUCUUACUUCUUUGAUGGCGACAAAUGAUAUUGAUGCGGGUCUCUCUGACGGUCUCGGUGUCUCCCAAAUUUACUGCUUCUAUUUCAUCCAGGUUGGACUUAGGCUUGUUCUCAAAAUUCUCAACUUCCCUGACAAUUUCCUUGGGUAUCUCAUCUUCUUCCUCUGAGUCACUAUUCUCAUAUUGCGUUGCCUCAUUACAUGUCACAGUCACGAGUUCAUCAGGAAAAUAAUAAUGACACUGUAGAUGAUGAAAGUAAUAAAAUAGUAAUGAACAUUGAUAAAUGAUAGAUACGCUUGAAUAAAAUUGAGAAAAUGUUUCAAACAAAUGCUUGGCUCGGUGGAUCGGGCAUUUAUUUAAAACAAAAGAAAUCUUAAAACCGAAUUGCUGGAAAAUUUAAAUGCCUAGAACAACUAUAAAUUCUAGCUACCCUGGGACUCGGGGGCUCAUGAUGGUAUGGCGGUCAAGUUUUCGAGAAUAGGUCCCUUUGCCACAGUCUGAAUGGUGAGGCCUUCUUCCUUCUCCUCUUCAAUCAUGGCACUGCAAUCCAUAUCCUUAUCUUCCAAGAACAAAUCCUUCAGUCCAGUUAGUGCUUCUUUUUCAAUAGCUCCCCAUAUUAUGUCUGCCCGAUUGAAAGCUUAUUCGAAACAGAGUACCCCGCUGCUCAAGAGGGUAAUAUGGUCCGCACUAUGGAGGCGACCAAUUCCUGUAUUCUUGCCACGUGUACUGGUAUCCGAUUCCAAAGUUAGUACUAUAUGCUUUAGCUAUAUUGAUUUUGUGAUGCCUUGGAAGUUCUUUUCCAAUCCUUUGUCGGGUUCAGAUCCGAACCAUGAUAAUAUGCUUUCUAUCUUGUUACUCCACUAUUUUUCUUUUUAGAUGGCAUUGACACGUUCAAUUUGAUGGUAGGUCUCCCCUCCUAGCCUUCUUUAAUGUCCAAUGGCCGGAAUGGUUUGACUGGUGUAGAUGGGGUUACUCUUGUCUCCAUGAAUGAUUACCUCCUAACGGUUCCAUUUGAAUUUUAUAGCUUGAUGUAGUGUGGAAGGCACAGCUACAGCAACAUGGAUCCAUGGGCCGCCCAACAAAGAUAAUAUGAGGCUGGUAUGUCAAGCACUUGGAACUCAAUGUUGAAACAAGUUGGUCCCAUUUGCAAACAAAGAUUGAUUUCCCCGAUUGUGGCCCUCGAGGACCAAUCAAAAGCCUUCACAUUCAUGCUUUUGGCUCGUAUUUCAUGGAAACCUUUGUCCAACAUUUUUAGGUUGUCCAGUGGAUAAAUAUUCAGACUAGAACCUCCAUCAACAAGACCCUGGAAAUGAACUUGUCUUCAAGCUAUACCAUAAUAUGUAAUGCUCGAUUGUGAUUUCAUCCUCGGGCGGUAGCUCAUCCUCGUGGAAGAUGAUGUUAUGGCUUUCUAGUACUUGACCGACCAUGUUGGAAAUUUCUCCACCAGUUAUAUUAUUGGGUACAUAAGCCUCGCUCAGUACUUUCAUCAAGGCAUUCUUGUGUGACUCAAAACUCUGCAGCAGUGACAGAAUAGAUAUCUGAGUAGGGACUUUGUUCAUGUGGUCAACAACAGAGUACUCUUUUGCCUGUAGUUUUCACCAUAAGUCAUCUGGCCUGGUCUCAAUGAUAGGUUGCCUAGCAGUGGCUUCCUUACUUGAACCUCCUAGGUGUUCAGGUGCAUAGACUCUUCCGGUCCUAGUCAUUCCUUGUGCUAUGUUAGAUUCCUCUACCUUAGCCUUCCAUUUCAAUCGAGCCUCAGCGACAUAAUCCCAAGGUUUUGCUUUUAAGUUGAAUCUGGGUGUGAUGGACACCAUCAUGGUAAAAAUUGUGACCACUUCUACUUCAAAUGGAGUGCGGGUGGCUGCAGGCGGAGCCACUUCUACCUCGAAUGGAUCUGAUGUAGUUACCUCAACCUGGAUCAGUGCCUGAGUCCGAACCACUAUAGGAGUAAGUGUGACUGCAACCUUAGAUUUCUCGCCCUCCCAAAUAAGCAUGAUCGACCCUCAGGGUCCCAUUCUUCAUUUGUUUCUAUUGUAUAUACACCGUCACCUCUACAAUCAAGGAGGGGAUUAUUUUCGUCAUUAGGUGAGGCCUCUUUUGCUUGUAUGACCUUGUUGUCAAUUAAUGUUAUAAUCUUAUCCUUCAAUGUCCGGCACUCAGCUGCGGUGUGUCCCUUCAUGCCGGAAUGGUUCGCACAAGUAUUGUUCAGAUAAACCCACUGGGAUAGGUUUUCUAAUGCCAUAGUGGGAAUAAGAGUGACAUAACCUACGGCUUUUAACCAUUAAUAUAGUUGGUGAAUGGGCUCAGCAAUAGCGGUAUACUGUCUGGGUGGCUUGCAAUCAAAGUUUGUCUGCUGUCUUAGAUAGUUUUGACGAGUUGGUGGUGAUUGGAAAUGGGAUGGUUGGUAGUUAUAUGUGUGAUAGAUAGAGGCUGGUUAAGAGUAUCUGGGGGUAAAGGUUGAUAUGUGGGUGGUGGUUGAUGAUACGUGGGUUGAGGUGUUUGAUAUGUGGGUGGUGGUGUUUGAUAGACAAGUUGGGAUUUUGGAAACCCUGGGCUACCAUUAUUGCACAAUAUCUCUCUUCUUCGAUAUGCCACCUGAAUGUAAUGCUGUAUUUAUGGCUUGUAAAUCCAAAAAAUUGGUUACCAUUCCUCUCUUGAUCACUUCUUCAAUCCUUUGUCUGAGUUUGAUAAUGUUAGAGAACUUGUGAUUUUUGAUAACCAUUAGUCUCUCGUAAUAUUGCAAGUCAUGUGCCCUAGCGAAAAAUUUAUUCAUCUACUAUUCAUCCAAAGCGGGCUUGACCUCGGCGGCUUCCGACCUCCAACGAGUUGCAUAUUCUUGGAAGGUCUUAGUGGGUUUCUUCUUGAGAUUCUAAAUGUAGAAGAUAUCAGGUUCAUUCUCUGUGUUGAACCUGAACCGAUCGAUGAAAUUUGAUGCCAUGCUUACCCAAUUUGACCAUUUCUUGGGAUUUUGGAUGAUAUUCCAAGAUAGCGCAUCCCCGGUAAGGCUACUCAUAAAGAGCUUCAUUCGGAUCUUUUCAUCUUUCCCCACCCCGACAAGUUUGUCAAAAUAAGUUCUGAGAUGAACCCUGGGAUCACCUAUGCCAUCAAACAUUUCAAACUUGGGAGGCCUGUAUCCUUCUGGAAUUUCCACAUCAGGCUGUAUGCACAGAUUCUCAAAGUUUAAACCCUCUAUCGCCUUCAACACCUUGACGUGGGCAUGUUAACUUUCUAAGUUCUUCAACCAUGUUCUUAAUGAGCAUGUCCUUUUUAGUAGUUUCUGGAGUACAUGAAGUUCGUUGGGCAGAUUGUGGUAUAGUUUCCACCAAUACGGGGUAGCUUUGAUGGGUUUCAGGAACUUGGGUAUAGUGGUGGUCAUUGGUGGAGCUUUGUGGAUCAGUAAUGAUUAGUGGUGUACUUUGGGGAGUGUGGUAAGUGGUGACUGGCGGGUAUUGAAUUGGUUGACGUUGUUAUGGUGGAGUUGGCAUCGGCAAUGGGUUGAUAUUUUGUGGUGGAGUGGAUUAGUGAUUUGGUAUGGUAGGAUCUUAUGGUUAUAGAUUUUGUGUAUCUUGAGGAGGUGUUGGGUUCUUUGCAUUCUGUUGGUGGAUAUCAAGGACACUAAGGAUAAGUGACAAAUUUAUAUUUCCGUAAUAUGUGUUUAAACACCGCAAACAUUUUAGAAUCCCCGCUAACUUGAUGAGGUGUUGGUUCUUUGCAUUCUGUUGGUGGAUAUCAGGGACAUUGAGGGUAAGUGACAAAUUAUUAUGGACCUGCUCAAGUUCUCCUUGUAGUUCUAGUAUCAUUUGUUCAAGUCUAAAACCAAGUCAUUUGGGGCCCGGGUACUACGAGAUCUCUGCAUUCUUAAUGUUUCCUUUCACAUUCCACUUAAAUCGUCCAUCUUUGCUUUCCCUCUGCUUUUUGUGUUGCUUCGACAAGGAGGAGGUGGAGGGCCUCUAGAUCUGGUGUGAUAUGCCGAUUGGGCCAGUAUGAUUGAUCCAACCUAAGGGGAUGAGAAUAAUAAUAAAUAACAAAACAAAAAGGUAACAAGUUAGUGGGGAUUCUAAAAUAUUUGCGGUAUUUAAACACAUAUUGUGGAAGUAUAAAUUUGUGUCCUAAUUUGAGAGUCUUAUUGUGCUCGAGGUAAGCCUAUCGACAAAUACAUAUGGAGAACAUUUAAUGCUAAUAAAUGCUUUAUUUCAUAAUAUAAGAAUAGACAAAUCACAAAACGAUAUUGAAAAAUUGAUAAAAAAUGUGUUACUGUUGGCACUUGGCCUUAUUACAUCUUAAGAAAAAGCAAAAAUAAAUCUAGCCUAUUUGGUCCCAGAAGGACCUUCACGGGAUUCGAUUUUCUGAAUUCCCUCAUAGAGAUCUCCCAGCUCGCUCAGCCCUAGCAGCAAGUAGGCUCUGGCCAAGUGUCCUGUUUCAGCUCCAUUAGCAUUCUGACAGUUUUAGAUACUCUUUUAUGACUUUGCCAUCUAUCUCUACUAUUCCUCGCUCCAGGUAUUCUAGUUUCCUAUUAGAAGUGACUGCCAUCGCCUUUUAUUCCUCAAUCAACCUUGUGUUCUUCUCAUGUAUUUCUCGGUGCUCAUUUUUAGAGUCGUGAACCCUUUUGCAUCCUAUUAUACUUGACUUGGGUUUCAACUUCCUCAUCUAUGAUUCUGUUUCCUCGACCAGUCCUUGGCAUUGCUGUUCCUUUCAAAUUAUCCUCUAACCAUGCUGGGAAAAGAGGCACAUACCAUGCGUGAUACAUGUCCGCCUCGACAGUGUUAUUCUCCACGAUGAUCUUGCAGUGCCACAUAUGUUGAGAUUGGCACUUGUAAGGAACAUCGUCGUCUUGAAAGUCUGCCUUGAGUUGUCUCAUCUUGACAACCCUUGGUACAACCUGCUUUCUACCUGCUUGCCUCAUAACUGAUAGAUGGACAUAUGGAUAUACCCUUCUCAACCCAAUCAAUACCAAAUGUGGAGCAUCUAUGGACCUGAUAAUAAACUCGUUUGUUGGAAACAAUCCAACCAUCCAUUGCACUUGUUCAUCGGUCAGGCUGUCAAAGAACUCCACCUACUCACUGGAACUUUUUGGCUGAGCACAUCUAUCUAAAAUUUAGGUCACUUUCUCGGUUAUGGAAAGUAAUGUGGUCGUUCCAAGCCCUUCGUGAAAAUUCUUGAUGAUAACAACCCUUUUGGAGAUGCUCUAAUAACCAUAACUGCAGCAAUAAGUUACAGCCUUCGAAAUGAUUUUCCCCAUUUUGAGAAUGCUCUAAGGCCCUGUAGAUAUUAGCUAUGAUCAUGGGGACUAUGGAAUAGGUCUGUCCAUUAAUCCCCUCUAUCAGAGUGUUGGCAACCAUGGCCAACCUGGUGUGUAUCCCUCACUUUUUCAUCGAGAAUACUAUCCUCCCCAGAAAGCACACGAUGAACACGAACAAUUUGUGGUGGAUGUAACCUAGUGAAGUGUGGGUGAUCUCAUCAUGGUAAAUGCACAAAGACUUGUUGUGGCCUCAUCUUUUAUAUAUAUAUUCGAAAGGUAUGUACGAGUCUUUCAGGCACAUUAGGUCGACAUUCUUUUUCAACCCCGUCAUCUUCAGAAAUCCCUUGCCUGUAUUGUUUUCUGGCACCAAAAGCCCAGGAUUGUCCUAAGUUAACCCUGCAAGUCCUCUUAUUUCCUCUAGAAGCAACGUCAUUUCUAUACCACCGAAAUGGAACACUGCUCUUUCACUAUCCCAGAAUAGAGUAGCAGCCUCAAUCAGUUUGUUGUUUGACUCGAAAUAUAGCAGGGAUGGAAAGUUACCUGGGUAUUCUUUCAUAUGCUUUUUGUCCUUUGAGGAGAGAUCUUCCCACCAAUCUAGCAACAAUGGAGGGGAUAUUACUAACCAUACUGAAUCUGGAGACCUCGUACCUUAUUUCCUACAUAACAAAAGGGUUAGGCCUUACCCCUACCAAACUCGACUAUUUAUACAUUUAUGAUCAACAUAUCACUGCAUUAAGAAGUCAAGAAAUAAUGUUUUCUAGAAAAGUGUGAUUCUGCAGUUGACAAUGCGGUCCAAAUUUCAGGUGGACCGCAUAGUCGUUGCAAAGUGAGUUAGUGUGUUGGCAAAUUUAAAGUCAACAAUGCGGUCAGUAAUGCGAGCAUAUAACUAAUAUGCGGACCGCGUAGUCAUCACUUAAUUUUCUUGAGAUUUUGUGAAGGCCAGUUCUGUGGUACAUUCUGCGACCAUAGAAUAUGAAUGCAAACUGCAUUUCUGCCGCAAACUCAGUUAGUGUGUCCAGUUUUUGGGAAGCAUUUUGCGGUCCAUUCUGCGUACCGCAUGUUGACUUUGCGAUCACAAAUGGGAUCGCAGAUCUAACUCGGGACUCCAAUUUCGUAAAUUUUAAACCCGUAUCGUUAUAUUCGGUGUGAAUAGCUUAUUUUGAGCAUAUUUCCCGAUGCUUCCACAGUAAGAGAGAGGGGUAUAAGAUAGGGAAAGUGCUUCUCUUCAAAAUUACUCCAAUAACAUGCUAAAACAUUUAAGGUAAUAAAGUGAAGGGACCUAAAUCUUCAUCCCAAAAGGUAAGAAUUCAUCACCUCAGCUCUUAUUUUUAUACUUAGCUAUAAGGCGUCAUUAGUGAGGUAAUUCAUAGGUAGAAGAAUGGAUUUCUUGCAUGUAUAUCAAACCAUGGAGUAUUGGGAGGUAUUGAACAAACAAGAAAACUAUUGGGGUAUAGAAUGAUAGAAAUUUCUCUCAAAAAGGACCUAAGAUCACAAUGCGCCUACAUUGUUUGAUAAUAUGCUCAAACAAGCUAGAAUCUCAAUCUCGUCACUAAUUCUCAAUUCAAUUUGUUAUUCUUACAAAAUAUAUCAAAGUGCUAAGAGUUUCAAAAUUUUGUAAAGAAUAAGGAGAGCUACAUUGAGGUAUGUAUGGCUAAAACCCCCUUUUAUUAGAAAUUGAGCUCCAUUGGCAUUUUUGCAGGUGUGGUAAGACUAGAAUUGGUUGAUGUAUUGGUUAUUAUUUCACAUUAAUUGAUUUGCAAUUAUAUACAUAUAUGCAUGAAGAUGUGCGUCAAUGUGAGUAAUAUAAUAUUCCUGAUAUUUAGAUAAGUGUGAAGAAUACGAAUCAUGUGUUGAAAUGCUUACGCUAUAAGCAAAGAUUCAAACUGAGAUUGUGAUGCUAACUAUGUGGAAACUUACCUGUGCUUGCACCUUGAAUUGCUUCUUUGUGCCUAUGACCAUAAAAUUGCAAGUUGGAUAUUAAAAAUGGAAUGAUGUGAUAAUUGUGGCCCUAAGUGCCAAUGAAUUGAUAUGAGCUAUGUGAAACUAAGAUUCAAAAGAGAUGAUCAAUGAGAAAGGAAUACUCUAGGUAAGGUGGCCUAGCCAAUCGGGCUGUGAUCGGACACCAUAACGCACAAAUGGUGGUAAUGGGCUAACACUGAAUUUUGGAAAAAAAGGAAAUAAAAUGGUGAUUGAGAUAUAUGCCUCAAAUGACGAUUGGGUCGUGAUCAGACUCCGCUCAAGAUAGCGGUGGUAUUAAGGACAAUGAUGAACAAAUGAAAGAAAUGCCCCAAACCUAGUUAUGGAAAUUAUGUGAAAGAUUAUAUGGUUCGUUUAUUUGAUAAUGUGGUGUCUGGUUAAAACAUUUGAUUUACUCUUGUGAUUUCCUUGUUCAUGUUUAAUAGUUCUUUCUAGUAGAAUGGUGUUUAGUUAAUUUACUCUAGUGAUUUCCUUCUUCAUGUUUGAUAGCUCUUUCUAGUAAAACGCUAUUUAGUUAUACAUACUAGUACUAUUCCAUGGUACUAACGUCCCUUUUUAUGGGAAACUGUAUUUUUAAAUGAAUGUAGGUGGAUCCAUUGUAGAUAGUGCCGAUCGCGUGUAGUAGAUCACCUUUUUCUCGAGUUUGGUGAGACGCUUUCUCCUUCAAGGGGUUGUAUUGUAUAUCUUUUGUUGUUGUGGACUUCAAAUUUUGAGGUAUAGCCAGGGCCUUGUUGUCGGCGUCGUCAUACUUAUAUUUUGUAUCCUUAAAGGC